Symphalangus syndactylus (siamang) is the source of this 495-nucleotide long non-coding RNA. RefSeq lists it as uncharacterized. NCBI's taxonomy places the organism in Eukaryota, Metazoa, Chordata, Mammalia, Primates, Hylobatidae. The record is from RefSeq and is a predicted model, not a curated record.
AAUUGCUGCCAACCUAGCCUUGGGCAAACUCCUGGUCUCCUGAGGAGGGAACACCCUGAAGACAUUCUCAGAGUAUGCAUUCCUGGGCUAGGGGGUCCAGACCAGAGCCUCUGAGGAAAAUUGGAUACAGACGAGUUCACAGGGAAGACCAUGUGCAGACAGAGUGAGAAGACAGCCACUUACAAGCCAAGGAGAGAGGCCUCAGAAGAAAUCAGCCUGGUGACGCCUUGAUCUUGGAGACUCCAGACCUGUCUACCAGCACCCCACCAACUCUCAAAGGAUGACCUUCUCUUCUCAUUUCACUGAGAAGCAGCAGAAAAGUACAUCCACAUCAUCAUCACCAAAUCCAUGAACCUCCCAACCCGAAAAGCUGUGUUUUCCAUCUUUCUUCUGUGAGGUGGUAGAAUUCUUACCCACACUCUCACCUGUGCUUUUGAUACCUCUCACCAAUAUAUGAGUCCAGGAGUUCAAGACCAGCCUGGGCAACAUGGUGAA